GACGAACGCGGGCGGCGUGCUUAACACAUGCAAGUCGAACGCUGAAGACCUGGCUUUUGUUGGGUUGGAUGAGUGGCGAACGGGUGAGUAACACGUGAGUAACCUGCCCCCUUCUUUGGGAUAACGCCCGGAAACGGGUGCUAAUACUGGAUAUUCACUGGCCUUCGCAUGGGGGUUGGUGGAAAGGUUUGUUCUGGUGGGGGAUGGGCUCGCGGCCUAUCAGCUUGUUGGUGGGGUGAUGGCCUACCAAGGCUUUGACGGGUAGCCGGCCUGAGAGGGUGACCGGUCACAUUGGGACUGAGAUACGGCCCAGACUCCUACGGGAGGCAGCAGUGGGGAAUAUUGCACAAUGGGCGAAAGCCUGAUGCAGCGACGCCGCGUGAGGGAUGGAGGCCUUCGGGUUGUAAACCUCUUUCGCUCAUGGUCAAGCCGCAACUGUGGGUUGUGGUGAGGGUAGUGGGUAAAGAAGCGCCGGCUAACUACGUGCCAGCAGCCGCGGUAAUACGUAGGGCGCGAGCGUUGUCCGGAAUUAUUGGGCGUAAAGGGCUUGUAGGCGGUUGGUCGCGUCUGCCGUGAAAUCCUCUGGCUUAACUGGGGGCGUGCGGUGGGUACGGGCUGACUUGAGUGCGGUAGGGGAGACUGGAACUCCUGGUGUAGCGGUGGAAUGCGCAGAUAUCAGGAAGAACACCGGUGGCGAAGGCGGGUCUCUGGGCCGUUACUGACGCUGAGGAGCGAAAGCGUGGGGAGCGAACAGG
RNAcentral lists this ribosomal RNA (755 nucleotides) under uncultured Actinomyces sp. RNAcentral's name for it is "bacterial SSU rRNA". It matches the Rfam family "Bacterial small subunit ribosomal RNA", at positions 28 to 776 of the family's 1533-position model. The record is from RNAcentral. Lineage: Bacteria; Bacillati; Actinomycetota; Actinomycetes; Actinomycetales; Actinomycetaceae.